This 3025-nucleotide ribosomal RNA is filed under the name Salmonella enterica subsp. enterica serovar Mbandaka str. ATCC 51958. Its description in RNAcentral is "bacterial LSU rRNA". It matches the Rfam family "Bacterial large subunit ribosomal RNA". The record is from RNAcentral. Lineage: Bacteria; Pseudomonadati; Pseudomonadota; Gammaproteobacteria; Enterobacterales; Enterobacteriaceae.
GGGUUGUGAGGUUAAGCGACUAAGCGUACACGGUGGAUGCCCUGGCAGUCAGAGGCGAUGAAGGGCGUGCUAAUCUGCGAUAAGCGCCGGUAAGGUGAUAUGAACCGUUAUAACCGGCGAUACCCGAAUGGGGAAACCCAGUGUGACUCGUCACACUAUCAUUAACUGAAUCCAUAGGUUAAUGAGGCGAACCGGGGGAACUGAAACAUCUAAGUACCCCGAGGAAAAGAAAUCAACCGAGAUUCCCCCAGUAGCGGCGAGCGAACGGGGAGGAGCCCAGAGCCUGAAUCAGCAUGUGUGUUAGUGGAAGCGUCUGGAAAGUCGCGCGAUACAGGGUGACAGCCCCGUACACAAAAGCGCAUGUGCUGUGAGCUCGAUGAGUAGGGCGGGACACGUGGUAUCCUGUCUGAAUAUGGGGGGACCAUCCUCCAAGGCUAAAUACUCCUGACUGACCGAUAGUGAACCAGUACCGUGAGGGAAAGGCGAAAAGAACCCCGGCGAGGGGAGUGAAAAAGAACCUGAAACCGUGUACGUACAAGCAGUGGGAGCCCCACCACUAAGCCAGUGGUGAACUCCACAUACGCAUCCUUUGCUGAGGAUACGGUUAACGGAGCGAAAGCGACGUUCAACCGCAAAAGAAGCAGAGGGGGCUUAGUGGUGGGGUGACUGCGUACCUUUUGUAUAAUGGGUCAGCGACUUAUAUUCUGUAGCAAGGUUAACCGUAUAGGGGAGCCGCAGGGAAACCGAGUCUUAACCGGGCGUUAAGUUGCAGGGUAUAGACCCGAAACCCGGUGAUCUAGCCAUGGGCAGGUUGAAGGUUGGGUAACACUAACUGGAGGACCGAACCGACUAAUGUUGAAAAAUUAGCGGAUGACCUGUGGCUGGGGGUGAAAGGCCAAUCAAACCGGGAGAUAGCUGGUUCUCCCCGAAAGCUAUUUAGGUAGCGCCUCGUGAAUUCAUCUCCGGGGGUAGAGCACUGUUUCGGCUAGGGGGCCAUCCCGGCUUACCAACCCGAUGCAAACUGCGAAUACCGGAGAAUGUUAUCACGGGAGACACACGGCGGGUGCUAACGUCCGUCGUGAAGAGGGAAACAACCCAGACCGCCAGCUAAGGUCCCAAAGUCAUGGUUAAGUGGGAAACGAUGUGGGAAGGCCCAGACAGCCAGGAUGUUGGCUUAGAAGCAGCCAUCAUUUAAAGAAAGCGUAAUAGCUCACUGGUCGAGUCGGCCUGCGCGGAAGAUGUAACGGGGCUAAACCAUGCACCGAAGCUGCGGCAGCGACACUGUGUGUUGUUGGGUAGGGGAGCGUUCUGUAAGCCUGCGAAGGUGGCCUGUGAGGGUUGCUGGAGGUAUCAGAAGUGCGAAUGCUGACAUAAGUAACGAUAAAGCGGGUGAAAAGCCCGCUCGCCGGAAGACCAAGGGUUCCUGUCCAACGUUAAUCGGGGCAGGGUGAGUCGACCCCUAAGGCGAGGCCGAAAGGCGUAGUCGAUGGGAAACGGGUUAAUAUUCCCGUACUUGGUGUUACUGCGAAGGGGGGACGGAGAAGGCUAUGUUGGCCGGGCGACGGUUGUCCCGGUUUAAGCGUGUAGGCUGGUUUUCCAGGCAAAUCCGGAAAAUCAAGGCUGAGGCGUGACGACGAGGCACUACGGUGCUGAAGCAACAAAUGCCCUGCUUCCAGGAAAAGCCUCUAAGCAUCAGGUAACAUCAAAUCGUACCCCAAACCGACACAGGUGGUCAGGUAGAGAAUACCAAGGCGCUUGAGAGAACUCGGGUGAAGGAACUAGGCAAAAUGGUGCCGUAACUUCGGGAGAAGGCACGCUGACACGUAGGUGAAGUGAUUUACUCACGGAGCUGAAGUCAGUCGAAGAUACCAGCUGGCUGCAACUGUUUAUUAAAAACACAGCACUGUGCAAACACGAAAGUGGACGUAUACGGUGUGACGCCUGCCCGGUGCCGGAAGGUUAAUUGAUGGGGUCAGCGCAAGCGAAGCUCCUGAUCGAAGCCCCGGUAAACGGCGGCCGUAACUAUAACGGUCCUAAGGUAGCGAAAUUCCUUGUCGGGUAAGUUCCGACCUGCACGAAUGGCGUAAUGAUGGCCAGGCUGUCUCCACCCGAGACUCAGUGAAAUUGAACUCGCUGUGAAGAUGCAGUGUACCCGCGGCAAGACGGAAAGACCCCGUGAACCUUUACUAUAGCUUGACACUGAACAUUGAGCCUUGAUGUGUAGGAUAGGUGGGAGGCUUUGAAGUGUGGACGCCAGUCUGCAUGGAGCCGACCUUGAAAUACCACCCUUUAAUGUUUGAUGUUCUAACGUGGACCCGUUACCCGGGUUGCGGACAGUGUCUGGUGGGUAGUUUGACUGGGGCGGUCUCCUCCUAAAGAGUAACGGAGGAGCACGAAGGUUGGCUAAUCCUGGUCGGACAUCAGGAGGUUAGUGCAAUGGCAUAAGCCAGCUUGACUGCGAGCGUGACGGCGCGAGCAGGUGCGAAAGCAGGUCAUAGUGAUCCGGUGGUUCUGAAUGGAAGGGCCAUCGCUCAACGGAUAAAAGGUACUCCGGGGAUAACAGGCUGAUACCGCCCAAGAGUUCAUAUCGACGGCGGUGUUUGGCACCUCGAUGUCGGCUCAUCACAUCCUGGGGCUGAAGUAGGUCCCAAGGGUAUGGCUGUUCGCCAUUUAAAGUGGUACGCGAGCUGGGUUUAGAACGUCGUGAGACAGUUCGGUCCCUAUCUGCCGUGGGCGCUGGAGAACUGAGGGGGGCUGCUCCUAGUACGAGAGGACCGGAGUGGACGCAUCACUGGUGUUCGGGUUGUCAUGCCAAUGGCAUUGCCCGGUAGCUAAAUGCGGAAGAGAUAAGUGCUGAAAGCAUCUAAGCACGAAACUUGCCCCGAGAUGAGUUCUCCCUGAGACUACGAGUCUCCUGAAGGAACGUUGAAGACGACGACGUUGAUAGGCCGGGUGUGUAAGCGCAGCGAUGCGUUGAGCUAACCGGUACUAAUGAACCGUGAGGCUUAACCUUACAACGCCGAAG